Molecule: ribosomal RNA, 911 nt
Filed under: Juxtiphoma eupyrena
Lineage: Eukaryota; Fungi; Ascomycota; Dothideomycetes; Pleosporales; Didymellaceae
Description: LSU rRNA
Rfam family: Eukaryotic large subunit ribosomal RNA
Source: RNAcentral
GCAUAUCAAUAAGCGGAGGAAAAAGAAACCAACAGGGAUUGCCCUAGUAACGGCGAGUGAAGCGGCAACAGCUCAAAUUUGAAAUCUGGCGUCUUUGGCGUCCGAGUUGUAAUUUGCAGAGGGCGCUUUGGCAUUGGCAGCGGUCCAAGUUCCUUGGAACAGGACGUCACAGAGGGUGAGAAUCCCGUACGUGGUCGCUAGCCUUUACCGUGUAAAGCCCCUUCGACGAGUCGAGUUGUUUGGGAAUGCAGCUCUAAAUGGGAGGUAAAUUUCUUCUAAAGCUAAAUACUGGCCAGAGACCGAUAGCGCACAAGUAGAGUGAUCGAAAGAUGAAAAGCACUUUGGAAAGAGAGUUAAAAAGCACGUGAAAUUGUUGAAAGGGAAGCGCUUGCAGCCAGACUUGCCUGUAGUUGCUCAUCCGGGUUUUUACCCGGUGCACUCUUCUAUAGGCAGGCCAGCAUCAGUUUGGGCGGUUGGAUAAAGGUCUCUGUCAUGUACCUCUCUUCGGGGAGAACUUAUAGGGGAGACGACAUGCAACCAGCCUGGACUGAGGUCCGCGCAUCUGCUAGGAUGCUGGCGUAAUGGCUGUAAGCGGCCCGUCUUGAAACACGGACCAAGGAGUCUAACAUCUAUGCGAGUGUUUGGGUGUCAAGCCCGAGCGCGUAAUGAAAGUGAACGGAGGUGGGAACCCCUCGGGGUGCACCAUCGACCGAUCCUGAUGUCUUCGGAUGGAUUUGAGUAAGAGCAUAGCUGUUGGGACCCGAAAGAUGGUGAACUAUGCUUGAAUAGGGUGAAGCCAGAGGAAACUCUGGUGGAGGCUCGCAGCGGUUUCUGACGUGCAAAUCGAUCGUCAAAUUUGGGGCAUAGGGGCGAAAGACUAAUCGAACUAUCUAGUAGCUGGUUCCUGCUGA